RNAcentral lists this long non-coding RNA (281 nucleotides) under Populus trichocarpa (black cottonwood). RNAcentral's name for it is "long non-coding RNA (PTRI_LNC000419)". Lineage: Eukaryota; Viridiplantae; Streptophyta; Magnoliopsida; Malpighiales; Salicaceae. The record is from RNAcentral.
AUCUAUCAUUUCCUUUCCUUUUCUUAAAGAGAAGUUAGCAUAAAUGGCCAACAAAGAAUUUACAAUCCAUUAUUUUGCAUCGAGGUGCUCAGUAAAUGGAUCAUCGAAUACAAGCUACUGAUCAUCUUUUCUUCAUAUGAGCCGAGAUGUAACUAACAUUUACAAUAAAGCAUUGAGUUCAUAGCCUCAGUCAGCAUCGGUCGAGACUCACGGCUUGAAAUUUACAAGGAUCAGGGACGAAUUCUUUCUUAUUUCUCUAGUAGUGUAGAGUAAUGUCUUAU